RNAcentral lists this non-coding RNA (28 nucleotides) under Mus musculus (house mouse). Lineage: Eukaryota; Metazoa; Chordata; Mammalia; Rodentia; Muridae. The record is from RNAcentral.
UAGCAAAGUUUGAAAAUGACUUGCUGGU